This 183-nucleotide unclassified non-coding RNA is filed under the name Glomus sp. Its description in RNAcentral is "partial contains 5.8S ribosomal RNA and internal transcribed spacer 2". The stretch from base 1 to 71 matches the Rfam family "5.8S ribosomal RNA", at positions 84 to 154 of the family's 154-position model. Lineage: Eukaryota; Fungi; Glomeromycota; Glomeromycetes; Glomerales; Glomeraceae. The record is from RNAcentral.
GUGAAUCAUCGAAUCUUUGAACGCAAAUUGCACUCUCUGGUAUUCCGGAAAGCAUGCCUGUUCGAGGGUCAGUUCAACACUCAUGGGCGUUGUUGGUGUUUUUCGUGGUGACGCGUCGGCGUUGAGUUGUCUCAGUUUCGGUUAAGUGACUCAAAACCUUGCAUGAUUUUCGUAUGUAUUUCA